Molecule: long non-coding RNA, 1338 nt
Organism: Zonotrichia leucophrys gambelii
Lineage: Eukaryota; Metazoa; Chordata; Aves; Passeriformes; Passerellidae
Exons: 4
Source: RefSeq, a predicted model, not a curated record
UUCAGUGGCAUUCCUGUGCCCCCAGCCUGCCUUGGCAUGAAUCCCCCCUUGCUGCCCAUCCUUUUGAGCCAGCAAAGCAAGGAAGUGGAAUUCAAUGGACAACCUGAUGAGAUUAUCCACUGAGCUCUUUCCAGCAGUGAGAUAAGAAGAGUCUGGAAAGAAGUUGGAGCAGCCCUUAUCUUCUGGAUAUUUCAAAGGGCUCAAGUUUGCAAAUGGAUUGCAUAGACCUGCUCAGCUUUCAGCACUUACCACACGGAUUUAAAACAAAUGGCAUUGCUUAUGAGACAGAACAGAAGCAAAUAUUUGUGAGGCAAAUGCCCCAUGGAGGUGAUGCCGCUGCCGGGCUGUGCCAGGAGCCCCCUCGUACAGAAGCUCCCACAAUGGGAGGCCAGGCAGGAGCCUCCACGUGGAAUUUUGGCUUUUCCUUGGUCCUCCCCUUGGCAAGGUGGUCUCCCAGCCGCGGGAAAAGAGCUCACACCUGGUAUUUGUUUAGCCCUGGAAGACACUGACUGGAUUCCAGUGGAAGGAAAACUCUUCUCCUUUGAAGGCCCUGGUGUAAUUUAUUUCACUAUUUCUGGCUGGUUCCUGAGAAACGUGAUCCAUGAGUGAAGGACUGAAAUAAGCUUGCUCCAAUUUGUCUGGUUUUCCAUUAUGAAGUGUGGCACAGAAGGAGCAGGAUUUCCAGCUCGUUCUGCUGUGUGUCAGCCAGGAAAAGCCAUGGCCCCAUGCAGAUGGAUCUGAGCAGCCCUGCCAUGGGGAGGCACUCAGGAAGGGACAGGGCUAGCAGUGUUCCCAAAAUAGCUCAGGGAAGUUAUUAACAUCUGUAAAUUCUGCUCCUGUUUCCCUGACAGCAGCAGCUUUGCUUGAGGAUCUCGACGUCGCUGCCAGCGUAAGAUCUUUAAGUGCCUGUUGCAGUGAUCCCUUCCCAAAAACACAUCAAACACUAAAAUAGGAGAGGUCUGAGCUCCCAGGUCAGAGCUUUUAUAAAAAUAUACAUGAAACAGCCUCCUGAGCCUCUUAAUUCUGUGGAGCUGCAGCCUUUUAUUCAAAAAAAGAAAAAACAGGGCUCGAUGAAAAUAAAGAUGUUUCCAACAUCAAAAAUGCACAUCAGCUCUGCUUCUGCAAAUUGUUUCAGAAGGUGAAUAUCCUGGUGAUAAAACUAACCAGCAUAUGAUGAACAAUAAAAAACCUGCCCCUGAUAAUUAUCAAAUACCCCUGAGCAGCUCCUUUGAGAACCUUCCCAAAAAGCACUUGCCCUUCUCCCCUCAGUGUGUAGAGGGGGAACUUUUUUACUUUCUUAAAACAAAACCAAAAUCAGUAGCUCAAAUGUGCACACAA